RNAcentral lists this unclassified non-coding RNA (255 nucleotides) under uncultured fungus. Its description in RNAcentral is "sequence contains ITS1, 5.8S rRNA gene". The stretch from base 207 to 255 matches the Rfam family "5.8S ribosomal RNA", at positions 1 to 49 of the family's 154-position model. The record is from RNAcentral. Lineage: Eukaryota; Fungi.
UCUCCGUUGGUGAACCAGCGGAGGGAUCAUUAUAGAGUUAACAAAACAACUCCCAACCCUUUGUGAACCUUACCUACCGUUGCUUCGGCGGACCGCCCCGGGCGCUGCGUGCCCCGGACCCAAGGCGCCCGCCGGGGACCACACGAACCCUGUUUAACAAACAUGUGUAUCCUCUGAGCGAGCCGAAAGGCAACAAAACAAAUCAAAACUUUCAACAACGGAUCUCUUGGUUCUGGCAUCGAUGAAGAACGCAGC